This 498-nucleotide ribosomal RNA is filed under the name uncultured bacterium. RNAcentral describes it as "partial 16S ribosomal RNA". It matches the Rfam family "Bacterial small subunit ribosomal RNA", at positions 27 to 507 of the family's 1533-position model. The record is from RNAcentral.
GGACGAACGCUGGCGGCGUGCCUAAUCCAUGCAAGUUGAGCGAUGAAGAUUGGUGCUUGCACCAAUUUGAAGAGCAGCGAACGGGUGAGUAACGCGUGGGGAAUCUGCCUUUGAGCGGGGGACAACAUUUGGAAACGAAUGCUAAUACCGCAUAACAACUUUAAACAUAAGUUUUAAGUUUGAAAGAUGCAAUUGCAUCACUCAAAGAUGAUCCCGCGUUGUAUUAGCUAGUUGGUGAGGUAAAGGCUCACCAAGGCGAUGAUGCAUAGCCGACCUGAGAGGGUGAUCGGCCACAUUGGGACUGAGACACGGCCCAAACUCCUACGGGAGGCAGCAGUAGGGAAUCUUCGGCAAUGGACGAAAGUCUGACCGAGCAACGCCGCGUGAGUGAAGAAGGUUUUCGGAUCGUAAAACUCUGUUGGUAGAGAAGAACGUUGGUGAGAGUGGAAAGCUCAUCAAGUGACGGUAACUACCCAGAAAGGGACGGCUAACUACGUG